Medicago truncatula (barrel medic) is the source of this 427-nucleotide long non-coding RNA. RefSeq lists it as uncharacterized. The transcript has 2 exons. NCBI's taxonomy places the organism in Eukaryota, Viridiplantae, Streptophyta, Magnoliopsida, Fabales, Fabaceae. The record is from RefSeq and is a predicted model, not a curated record.
AUUAAUGUAACAAAAGCAUAAGCAUUAUCAAUUAUAAAUAGAUAAAAUCUUUGAUACAUGCAAAGUGGAGGAAAUAUGACUAAUAUUAUCAAAUUUGUUAAGGUUAUGAUUUACUUUCUUUCUAUAUUUCUUAUUUCAACGUACUUUAAAGUGAAAUUGAGUUGUUUUGAGGAUUCUGAUUGCCCAUAUGAUAUGUGUUAUGCUGGUUUUCAACCAAAGUGUGUGAAUGGUUGGUGUGACUGUUAGAGAAUUCAGCCAUGAAUUCAAUGAGUAGCAGCAACUUAUGUAAAUUAUUUUACAGUCACAUUAUAUCUUCACAUUAUAGUUUUAAACGAUUUCAUAUACUUUUUAUACCCUUAUUAAAAAAAUUAUUAUCAUCUCUGAGGAUCUAAAUCAAUUAAAUGUUAAUAUUCUAUGAUUUCUACUA